This 713-nucleotide non-coding RNA is filed under the name Anthocephalum grabatum. The record is from RNAcentral. Lineage: Eukaryota; Metazoa; Platyhelminthes; Cestoda; Rhinebothriidea; Anthocephaliidae.
GUUUGUUUAACUAUGGCAAUAAGAAGAUUCGCUUUUUUAAUUGCAUAAAAUUAUUGUAGCUUUUACUAAGAAAGAGUACACCUUGGUUUAUUAGCAAUUAGUUUUUUAUUUGAGCUUACGUUUUUUAAGAGAAAUGCGAAUAGGAGGGGAUAGGACACAGUGCCAGCAUCCGCGGUUAAUCUGUUUUCUUUGCUUUUACUUGAAUCUUAGUUGGCAGAAUAUAAGCAAGGUUAGGUGAAAUUUUCUUGUACUUAAUCAGUUCUGCUAUUUUACGGAAACUUAGUUUUAACGACAGGGAUUAGAUACCCCAUUAGUUACUAAGUUAUUUUAUUUUAGUUUCAUAACUAAAAUAGUUUGGCAGUGAGUUACUCCUGUUGGGGGAAGGUGUGUUGUAAAGGACGAUCCGCCAAUUAAUUGACCUAAUCUAUGUUGGUGUAUAUCUGGUUGGAUAUUAUUGCUUAAUAGCUUAAUUUGUGUAUAGAUACUUAAGCCAAGUCUAUGUGCUGCAUGUUUAGGGUUUCAUGCGUUACUAUUAAUUAAAAGCUCUAUUGUAAUGUGAGGGCUAUAUUAGGGACUCGAGAGUAAUAUCAGUUAAGUUUGCUGAUGUGAAAAGGGUUUAACUCAGGUACACACCGCCCGUCACCCUCGGCGUAUGUUGAGGUAAGUCGUAACAUGGUAACCCCAAAUGAAUUUGGGGUUAAUUGCUUUUUAGC